This is a long non-coding RNA of Manis pentadactyla (Chinese pangolin), 1669 nucleotides long. RefSeq lists it as uncharacterized. The record is from RefSeq and is a predicted model, not a curated record. NCBI's taxonomy places the organism in Eukaryota, Metazoa, Chordata, Mammalia, Pholidota, Manidae. The transcript has 2 exons.
CAAAUAGCUGUGAGUCAUGGCUGAAAUGUCUGAAAAAAUCAGCUCUAAAAUCUCAGUUGGCUUUGAAGCAGGAACAAAAACAAAACAAGAAUCAAAUGGCACCAGGAAAAUCCACUUCCAAAAUAUGCUCCCAAGAGUGCUCAUCCUUGCAUCUGAAAUAUAACUUAUUAUAUCAGAUUAUCAUAUGUGUGAGUUUGAAUAGCAGAUUUUGUCAUUGCAAAAUAUCUGGUUAGAGCAACAUCAAGCUGUAAGGGUGUGAGUGUUUGAACUGAAACUAUGCUGGGCAGGAGAUACCUUUGGUAUCAUGGAUUCCUCCAUAAGGCUGUUGUGAUUUUCUGCAAACCUGAUUUUGUUCUGGCUAGUUGCCUAGAGAGCUGAUUCGGAGAACCACCCACCUCCCUGGAAGCGAAUCCACAGACUUGCGUGGAGGGAAAGGCGGCGGAGGCUGCACCUGCUCACGGUUCUUUUCCAUUGUCUCAGCGGGCAUCACUACUUUUUCCGAAUUCUGACCCUGAGAGCAGAGUGGAACUAGGGCAGAGAAGCCCAUCUGCCAUGGAUGAGGGCUGCUUGGGGAGCUCUGGAACGGAGGGCAAUGUCUGAACCAAACCCAGGAGGCUUCUCAGUCAAAGACAUGCUGAAUUUAUGCAAUCUGGAUGAAUCCUGAGUGUUACUGAAAUUUUGCUGGGGCUAUCAAAAUGUAAACCUUAGGCACUGCCUAAGAAUACUGUCCCUGGAAAUACAGACGUGACACAGAGAUGUUUAUGUUUAUCGAUUACCCCAUCAGAUAUGUAGGGUCUUUACCAAAUCAUUGUAAAAUUUCAAACUUUAUUAAUUCUUUUCUAUCAUACCACCUAGCCUCAAAUGGUAUUUAAAAGGCAGACUUAUUGAAGUUUAGAACACUUGCUUAUACAGCUGUGUGUUUGUAUUUCAGAUCUAUACAAACCACACAUGGCUUCCAUAAGACAGUGUCUAUUCUAUACCUAGCAGCACUAAUAUAUUCAGAAAUAGAGAGUUCACUGUGGUUCUUUUAAACAUUUGAAAUUAAAAGGUAAAGCUUCCCAAGGUUGUAUGAGCUCCCUUUUCUCUGACUGAGCUCAAGAACUAUAGUUAUCCUUAUGCUCAUAGACUCUACUUUUGCCUAAUUUCAGCCUGAUAGACAUCCCAUGGACUAGUCAUCUUUAGCUGUAUUCAUCUGGUUUUCCUUUCUUAUUUCAAAUGCAUUGUUGAAUGUUUCUGUCUGAGUUUACACACUGUGCCUGUCCUUAUAAUAUUAUUGAGAAGAUAUAAUUUCCUUCUCACCAUUCCAUCCUAAUUACCUUUUCUAUGAGGCCUUGGUCUUUAAAAACGCAAUAGCCUAGAGGCCUCUCUGUUCCUAAGGGUGGUGCUGGUAACAGAGUAAAUGUGCUCCUAAUAUAAUUUGCACACUUUUCUUUUUAAAAUGUCACAAAUGAUACAGGCCCAUGAUUAAAAUGAGAAAACAUGUAAGCAGAAAGAAAAACUACGUAUUUAUAUGAAAAUGUAUUUUUAAAAAUGCGUGUGUAUGAAAAAACACAAUGCAUUUCAUCACUUCUUAAUAUUUUCCUGCUUUAUAUAUCAUAAACAUGUACCUGUAUUCUAAUGGAUGCCUGAUUUUGCCUUGUAUGGAUGUAAUAAAAUAAAGUUUUUAUUA